RNAcentral lists this ribosomal RNA (2930 nucleotides) under Enterobacter hormaechei subsp. oharae. RNAcentral's name for it is "bacterial LSU rRNA". It matches the Rfam family "Bacterial large subunit ribosomal RNA". Lineage: Bacteria; Pseudomonadati; Pseudomonadota; Gammaproteobacteria; Enterobacterales; Enterobacteriaceae. The record is from RNAcentral.
GGGUUGUGAGGUUAAGCGACUAAGCGUACACGGUGGAUGCCCUGGCAGUCAGAGGCGAUGAAGGACGUGCUAAUCUGCGAAAAGCGCCGGCGAGGUGAUAUGAACCCUUGACCCGGCGAUGUCCGAAUGGGGAAACCCAGUGUGUUCCGACACACUAUCGUUAACUGAAUACAUAGGUUAACGAGGCGAACCGGGGGAACUGAAACAUCUAAGUACCCCGAGGAAAAGAAAUCAACCGAGAUUCCCCCAGUAGCGGCGAGCGAACGGGGAGCAGCCCGGAGUCUGAAUCAGCUUGUGUGUUAGUGGAACGGUCUGGAAAGUCCGACGGUACAGGGUGAUAGUCCCGUACACGAAAAUGCACAGGUUGUGAACUCGAAGAGUAGGGCGGGACACGUGGUAUCCUGUCUGAAUAUGGGGGGACCAUCCUCCAAGGCUAAAUACUCCUGACUGACCGAUAGUGAACCAGUACCGUGAGGGAAAGGCGAAAAGAACCCCGGCGAGGGGAGUGAAAAAGAACCUGAAACCGUGUACGUACAAGCAGUGGGAGCACCUUCGGGUGUGACUGCGUACCUUUUGUAUAAUGGGUCAGCGACUUAUAUUCUGUAGCAAGGUUAACCGUAUAGGGGAGCCGAAGGGAAACCGAGUCUUAACUGGGCGUUAAGUUGCAGGGUAUAGACCCGAAACCCGGUGAUCUAGCCAUGGGCAGGUUGAAGGUUGGGUAACACUAACUGGAGGACCGAACCGACUAAUGUUGAAAAAUUAGCGGAUGACCUGUGGCUGGGGGUGAAAGGCCAAUCAAACCGGGAGAUAGCUGGUUCUCCCCGAAAGCUAUUUAGGUAGCGCCUCGUGAACUCAUCUUCGGGGGUAGAGCACUGUUUCGGCUAGGGGGCCAUCCCGGCUUACCAACCCGAUGCAAACUACGAAUACCGAAGAAUGUUAUCACGGGAGACACACGGCGGGUGCUAACGUCCGUCGUGAAGAGGGAAACAACCCAGACCGCCAGCUAAGGUCCCAAAGUCAUGGUUAAGUGGGAAACGAUGUGGGAAGGCACAGACAGCCAGGAUGUUGGCUUAGAAGCAGCCAUCAUUUAAAGAAAGCGUAAUAGCUCACUGGUCGAGUCGGCCUGCGCGGAAGAUGUAACGGGGCUAAACCAUGCACCGAAGCUGCGGCAGCGACACUAUGUGUUGUUGGGUAGGGGAGCGUUCUGUAAGCCGUUGAAGGUGUGCUGUGAGGCAUGCUGGAGGUAUCAGAAGUGCGAAUGCUGACAUAAGUAACGAUAAAGCGGGUGAAAAGCCCGCUCGCCGGAAGACCAAGGGUUCCUGUCCAACGUUAAUCGGGGCAGGGUGAGUCGACCCCUAAGGCGAGGCCGAAAGGCGUAGUCGAUGGGAAACAGGUUAAUAUUCCUGUACUUGGUGUUACUGCGAAGGGGGGACGGAGAAGGCUAUGUCAGCCGGGCGACGGUUGUCCCGGUUUAAGCAUGUAGGCGGAGGUUCCAGGUAAAUCCGGUACCUUUUAACGCUGAGGUGUGAUGACGAGGCACUACGGUGCUGAAGUGAUAAAUGCCCUGCUUCCAGGAAAAGCCUCUAAGCAUCAGGUAACACGAAAUCGUACCCCAAACCGACACAGGUGGUCAGGUAGAGAAUACCAAGGCGCUUGAGAGAACUCGGGUGAAGGAACUAGGCAAAAUGGUGCCGUAACUUCGGGAGAAGGCACGCUGAUAGGUAGGUGAAGCCCCUGCGGGCGGAGCUGAAAUCAGUCGAAGAUACCAGCUGGCUGCAACUGUUUAUUAAAAACACAGCACUGUGCAAACACGAAAGUGGACGUAUACGGUGUGACGCCUGCCCGGUGCCGGAAGGUUAAUUGAUGGGGUUAGCGGCAACGCGAAGCUCUUGAUCGAAGCCCCGGUAAACGGCGGCCGUAACUAUAACGGUCCUAAGGUAGCGAAAUUCCUUGUCGGGUAAGUUCCGACCUGCACGAAUGGCGUAAUGAUGGCCAGGCUGUCUCCACCCGAGACUCAGUGAAAUUGAACUCGCUGUGAAGAUGCAGUGUACCCGCGGCAAGACGGAAAGACCCCGUGAACCUUUACUAUAGCUUGACACUGAACACUGGUCCUUGAUGUGUAGGAUAGGUGGGAGGCUUUGAAGCGUGGACGCCAGUCUGCGUGGAGCCAUCCUUGAAAUACCACCCUUUAAUGGCUGGUGUUCUAACGUAGACCCGUGAUCCGGGUUGCGGACAGUGUCUGGUGGGUAGUUUGACUGGGGCGGUCUCCUCCCAAAGAGUAACGGAGGAGCACGAAGGUUGGCUAAUCCUGGUCGGACAUCAGGAGGUUAGUGCAAUGGCAUAAGCCAGCUUGACUGCGAGCGUGACGGCGCGAGCAGGUGCGAAAGCAGGUCAUAGUGAUCCGGUGGUUCUGAAUGGAAGGGCCAUCGCUCAACGGAUAAAAGGUACUCCGGGGAUAACAGGCUGAUACCGCCCAAGAGUUCAUAUCGACGGCGGUGUUUGGCACCUCGAUGUCGGCUCAUCACAUCCUGGGGCUGAAGUAGGUCCCAAGGGUAUGGCUGUUCGCCAUUUAAAGUGGUACGCGAGCUGGGUUUAGAACGUCGUGAGACAGUUCGGUCCCUAUCUGCCGUGGGCGCUGGAGAAUUGAGGGGGGCUGCUCCUAGUACGAGAGGACCGGAGUGGACGCAUCACUGGUGUUCGGGUUGUCAUGCCAAUGGCACUGCCCGGUAGCUAAAUGCGGAAGAGAUAAGUGCUGAAAGCAUCUAAGCACGAAACUUGCCCCGAGAUGAGUUCUCCCUGAGACUUUAAGUCUCCUGAAGGAACGUUGAAGACGACGACGUUGAUAGGUCGGGUGUGUAAGCGCAGCGAUGCGUUGAGCUAACCGAUACUAAUGAACCGUGAGGCUUAACCUUACAACGCCGAAGGUGUUU